CCUACGGGAGGCUGCAGUGAGGAAUAUUGGUCAAUGGCCGGAAGGCUGAACCAGCCAAGCCGCGUGAAGGACGAAGGUGCCAAGCAUUGUAAACUUCUUUUGUCAAGGGACAAAAUCAGGCUCGAGAGCCUGACCGAGGGUACUUGAAGAAAAAGCAUCGGCUAACUCCGUGCCAGCAGCCGCGGUAAUACGGAGGAUGCGAGCGUUAUCCGGAUUUAUUGGGUUUAAAGGGUGCGUAGGCGGGCUGUUAAGUGAGCGCUAAAAGCCCGGGAGGCAACCCCGGAGAGCCGUUGAAAGUGGCUGUCUGGAGAUGUCGAGAGGUAUGCGGAAUGCGCAGUGUAGCGGUGAAAUGCGUAGAUAUUGCGCAGAACUCCGAUUGCGAAGGCAGCAUACCGGCGGCGAUCUGACGCUGAGGCACGAAGGCGUGGGGAGCGAACAGGAUUAGAUACCCGUGUAGUC
This 459-nucleotide ribosomal RNA is filed under the name uncultured bacterium. RNAcentral's name for it is "partial 16S ribosomal RNA". It matches the Rfam family "Bacterial small subunit ribosomal RNA", at positions 338 to 795 of the family's 1533-position model. The record is from RNAcentral.